UGGGGAAUAUUGCACAAUGGGCGCAAGCCUGAUGCAGCCAUGCCGCGUGUAUGAAGAAGGCCUUCGGGUUGUAAAGUACUUUCAGUCGGGAGGAAGGUGGUAAGGUUAAUAACCUUAUCAAUUGACGUUACCGACAGAAGAAGCACCGGCUAACUCCGUGCCAGCAGCCGCGGUAAUACGGAGGGUGCAAGCGUUAAUCGGAAUUACUGGGCGUAAAGCGCACGCAGGCGGUUGAUUGAGUCAGAUGUGAAAUCCCCGGGCUUAACCCGGGAAAUGCAUCUGAUACUGGUCAGCUAGAGUCUUGUAGAGGGGGGUAGAAUUCCAUGUGUAGCGAGGAAAUGCGUAGAGAUGUGGAGGAAUACCGGUUGCGAAGGCGGCCCCCUGGACGAAGACUGACGCUCAGGUGCGAAAGCGUGGGGAGCAAACAGG
This 429-nucleotide ribosomal RNA is filed under the name Chloroflexota bacterium. RNAcentral describes it as "Chloroflexi bacterium partial 16S ribosomal RNA". It matches the Rfam family "Bacterial small subunit ribosomal RNA", at positions 355 to 776 of the family's 1533-position model. The record is from RNAcentral. Lineage: Bacteria; Bacillati; Chloroflexota.